ACCGUUUCACUCGCUUCUGUUCAAAAAAGUACCAAAUCGACACACUUCUGUAGUCUUCGGCAUCUGCAUUUUCAUUGACUGAAGACAUGGAGAAGAGGAAGAGUAAAAACAUACAAAAGAGAAGGAAGAAGAAAGUGUAUCUUCAUGGAUCUUGAAGUUGGAUGAAGACAUUGUUAAGAGCAAAUCUAGAAAUCUGAAAAGUUUGGUUGAAAAUGAAAAAACACAGUUUGGAGUUGGUAUGGGAGUC
RNAcentral lists this long non-coding RNA (247 nucleotides) under Medicago truncatula (barrel medic). RNAcentral's name for it is "long non-coding RNA (MTRU_LNC007090)". The record is from RNAcentral. Lineage: Eukaryota; Viridiplantae; Streptophyta; Magnoliopsida; Fabales; Fabaceae.